This 87-nucleotide small RNA is filed under the name Flavobacterium indicum GPTSA100-9 = DSM 17447. RNAcentral's name for it is "Flavo-1 RNA". It matches the Rfam family "Flavo-1 RNA". The record is from Rfam by way of RNAcentral. Lineage: Bacteria; Pseudomonadati; Bacteroidota; Flavobacteriia; Flavobacteriales; Flavobacteriaceae.
AAUUUGCGUGAGGGAUAGAGGCGGCAUCCUUUUUUUUACUGUGCCAAAGGAAGGAAAAAAAAGAUACAGCCGAAAGCCCGACCUGAA